AUGCGUGAACUACUGCAACAACAGCUCAAGCAGGCGCAAGACCGUAUGAAGCGGCAGGCCGACAAGCACCGCACUGAUCGAGAGUUCGAGGUGGGCGACGCGGUGUACUUACGACUCCAGCCAUACAUACAGACGUCCGUAGCGCAACGACCGUUCCAGAAGCUGGCCUUCAGGUAUUUUGGUCCAUACCCAGUCGUAGCGCGCGUGGGCAAAGUGGCAUACAAACUUCAGUUGCCAGUCGGAAGCAAGAUACAUCCGGUGGUACACGUCUCCCAGCUCAAGAAGGCGAUCGGCUCCGACAUUCAGGUGCGCUGGACAGGCCUGCCAGCAUCUAUGGCUACGUGGGAAGACCUGAUGCUGCUCCGACAACGAUUUCCUGCAUUGCUGGCUUGGGGACAAGCCAGUUUCCAAGAAGGGGAGAAUGUCAGUACCACUACACCACCCCAACUGCCAGAGUGGCCCAAGACCCAGGCGGGACCACCAGUCGGCGACCAGAGGCGAGAAGAGGAGCGGAACGAGUCCUAG
RNAcentral lists this ribosomal RNA (525 nucleotides) under Triticum aestivum (bread wheat). RNAcentral's name for it is "partial small subunit ribosomal RNA". The record is from RNAcentral. Lineage: Eukaryota; Viridiplantae; Streptophyta; Magnoliopsida; Poales; Poaceae.